AGCGAACGCUGGCGGCAGGCCUAACACAUGCAAGUCGAACGAACCUUUCGGGGUUAGUGGCGGACGGGUGAGUAACACGUGGGAACGUGCCUUUAGGUUCGGAAUAACUCAGGGAAACUUGUGCUAAUACCGAAUGUGCCCUUCGGGGGAAAGAUUAAUCGCCUUUAGAGCGGCCCGCGUCUGAUUAGCUAGUUGGUUGAGGUAAUGGCUCACCAAGGCGACGAUCAGUAGCUGGUCUGAGAGGAUGAUCAACCACAUUGGGACUGAGACACGGCCCAAACUCCUACGGGAGGCAGCAGUGGGGAAUCUUGCGCAAUGGGCGAAAGCCUGACGCAGCCAUGCCGCGUGAAUGAUGAAGGUCUUAGGAUUGUAAAAUUCUUUCACCGGGGACGAUAAUGACGGUACCCGGAGAAGAAGCCCCGGCUAACUUCGUG
This 434-nucleotide ribosomal RNA is filed under the name uncultured bacterium. Its description in RNAcentral is "partial 16S ribosomal RNA". It matches the Rfam family "Bacterial small subunit ribosomal RNA", at positions 29 to 507 of the family's 1533-position model. The record is from RNAcentral.